This 677-nucleotide long non-coding RNA is filed under the name Oryza sativa Indica Group (long-grained rice). RNAcentral's name for it is "lncRNA OsZS97_01G018640". The record is from RNAcentral. Lineage: Eukaryota; Viridiplantae; Streptophyta; Magnoliopsida; Poales; Poaceae.
UCCCCUCCCCUCCCCUCUCCCAUCCAGAGGCGCCGCUCCCUCUCCCCCAAUCCCUCCUGUCUCGCUGGCACGGCGCGGAGAAGGCGGGUGCGGCGGAGACGGCGGCGACAGCCGUCCCUUCCCCUCUCCCUCUCCCUAUCGACCUCGACGGCCGUCCAUCCCUCUCGGCGACGGCGCCCUCUCCACCCUCAAGAUCUGGCGGCGCCGUCCCAACGGCGGCGUCGACAGCGAUGACGGUGUCGGCGGCAUCCGCGGGUGGAUCCAUCGGCCGUGGUGGCAACCGCGGGCGGAUCUGGCAGCGGCGGCUCCCUCCACCGCCUCUUUUCUCGAUCCCUCCGGUGGCGGUGGUGGCGUCGGCAACGGCCGCGGAUGGAUCUGGCGGCGGUGGCGACGACCAAGGGGAUCUGACGAGCGCCCCGUGGACGGAUCCGGUGGUGGCGACGGCGUUGGUGGCUUCCCGGUGAUGUUUUUAUUUUUCUUCCGGUUCUUUUUCUCAAUCGCUUGAUUCUCAUCCUAUAAUCAACAUAAUAAUCGCUUUAUUUGCCUUAUGAUGCACUCGGAAGAUAAGAUAGAUAGACUGAAUCUGACUUUUCUUUUUUUGUUUUCAUGUUUUUUCACCCUUUUUCGUUAUUACGAACGACGGAAACGUCUUUAAUUUUUUUUACCUCGUCACAUAU